GACGAACGCUGGCGGCGUGCCUAAUACAUGCAAGUCGAGCGCUGAAGGUUGGUACUUGUUCCCACUGGAUGAGCAGCGAACGGGUGAGUAACGCGUGGGCAAUCUGCCUUUGAGCGGGGGAUAACCUUUGGAAACGAAUGCUAAUACCGCAUAAAACCUUUAAACACAAGUUUUAAGUUUGAAAGAUGCAAUUGCAUCACUCAAAGAUGAUCCCGCGUUGUAUUAGCUAGUUGGUGAGGUAAAGGCUCACCAAGGCGAUGAUACAUAGCCGACCUGAGAGGGUGAUCGGCCGCAAUGGGACGGAGACACGGCCCAAACGCCUUCAGGAGGCAGCCGUAGGGAAACGUCGGCAAGAGGCGGGAGUCUGAGCGAGAAACGCCGAGGGAGGGAAGAGGGUUUUCGGGUCGUAAAAGUCUGUUGGUGGGGAAGAACGUUGGUGAGGGUGGAAAGCUCAGAAAGUGACGGUAACUGCACAGAAAGGGACGGCUAACUACGUG
Molecule: ribosomal RNA, 497 nt
Filed under: uncultured bacterium
Lineage: Bacteria
Description: partial 16S ribosomal RNA
Rfam family: Bacterial small subunit ribosomal RNA
Source: RNAcentral